UACGGAGGGUGCAAGCGUUGUCCGGAUUUAUUGGGUUUAAAGGGUGCGUAGGCGGCCCGUUAAGUCAGCGGUGAAAUCCCAGGGCUCAACCCUGGAACUGCCGUUGAUACUGGCGGGCUUGAGUUCGGUCGAGGCGGGCGGAACUGGUGGUGUAGCGGUGAAAUGCUUAGAUACCGCCAAGAACCCCGAUUGCGUAGGCAGCUCGCUAGGCCGAAACUGACGCUGAGGCACGAAAGCGUGGGGAGCGAACAGG
RNAcentral lists this ribosomal RNA (253 nucleotides) under uncultured bacterium. RNAcentral's name for it is "partial 16S ribosomal RNA". It matches the Rfam family "Bacterial small subunit ribosomal RNA", at positions 524 to 776 of the family's 1533-position model. The record is from RNAcentral.